CAGCCGCCGCGGUAAAACGUAGGUCCCGAGCGUUGUCCGAAUUUAUUGGGCGUAAAGCGAGCGCAGGCGGUUAGAUAAGUCUGAAGUUAAAGGCUGUGGCUUAACCAUAGUACGCUUUGGAAACUGUUUAACCUGAGUGCAAGAGGGGAGAGUGGAAUUCCAUGUGUAGCGGUGAAAUGCGUAGAUAUAUGGAGGAACACCGGUGGCGAAAGCGGCUCUCUGGCUUGUAACUGACGCUGAGGCUCGAAAGCGUGGGGCGCAAACAGGAUUAGAUACCCCAGUAGUCCCUGUCUCUUAUACA
RNAcentral lists this ribosomal RNA (301 nucleotides) under uncultured bacterium. Its description in RNAcentral is "partial 16S ribosomal RNA". It matches the Rfam family "Bacterial small subunit ribosomal RNA", at positions 509 to 808 of the family's 1533-position model. The record is from RNAcentral.